Molecule: ribosomal RNA, 253 nt
Filed under: uncultured bacterium
Lineage: Bacteria
Description: partial 16S ribosomal RNA
Rfam family: Bacterial small subunit ribosomal RNA
Source: RNAcentral
UACGUAGGGCGCAAGCGUUGUCCGGAAUUAUUGGGCGUAAAGAGCUCGUAGGCGGCUUGUCACGUCGGAUGUGAAAGCCCGGGGCUUAACCCCGGGUCUGCAUUCGAUACGGGCAGGCUAGAGUGUGGUAGGGGAGAUCGGAAUUCCUGGUGUAGCGGUGAAAUGCGCAGAUAUCAGGAGGAACACCGGUGGCGAAGGCAGGUCACUGGGCCGCAACUGACGCUGAGGAGCGAAAGCAUGGGGAGCGAACAGG